CCUACGGGCGGCAGCAGUGAGGAAUAUUGGUCAAUGGACGCAAGUCUGAACCAGCCAUGCCGCGUGCAGGAAGACGGCCCUAUGGGUUGUAAACCUCUUUUGUCGGAGAACAAAACCCGGGACGUGUCCCGGCCUGCGUGUAACCGAAGAAAAAGCAUCGGCUAACUCCGUGACAGCAGCCGCGGUAAUACGGAGGAUGCGAGCGUUAUCCGGAUUUAUUGGGUUAAAAGGGUGCGUAGGCGGUACGUUAAGUCAGCGGUAAAAUUGCGGGGCUCAACCCCGUCGAGCCGUUGAAACUGGCAGACUUGAGUUGGCGAGAAGUACGCGGAAUGCGCGGUGUAGCGGUGAAAUGCAUAGAUAUCGCGCAGAACUCCGAUUGCGAAGGCAGCGUACCGGCGCCAGACUGACGCUGAGGCACGAAAGCGUGGGGAUCGAACAGGAUUAGAUACCCGUGUAGUC
Molecule: ribosomal RNA, 459 nt
Filed under: uncultured bacterium
Lineage: Bacteria
Description: partial 16S ribosomal RNA
Rfam family: Bacterial small subunit ribosomal RNA
Source: RNAcentral